RNAcentral lists this ribosomal RNA (253 nucleotides) under uncultured bacterium. RNAcentral's name for it is "partial 16S ribosomal RNA". It matches the Rfam family "Bacterial small subunit ribosomal RNA", at positions 524 to 776 of the family's 1533-position model. The record is from RNAcentral.
UACGUAGGUGGCAAGCGUUGUCCGGAUUUAUUGGGUUUAAAGGGUGCGUAGGUGGUCAAUUAAGUCAGUGCUGAAAUAUCCCGGCCUAACCGGGAGGGUGGCAUUGAUACUGAUUGACUUGAGUGGAGUUGAGGUAGGCGGAAUUGACGGUGUAGCGGUGAAAUGCUUAGAUAUCGUCAAGAACACCGAUAGCGAAGGCAGCUUACCAAGCUCUAACUGACACUGGUGCACGAAAGUGUGGGGAUCAAACAGG